Molecule: ribosomal RNA, 301 nt
Filed under: uncultured bacterium
Lineage: Bacteria
Description: partial 16S ribosomal RNA
Rfam family: Bacterial small subunit ribosomal RNA
Source: RNAcentral
CAGCCGCCGCGGGAAUACGGAGGGUGCAAGCGUUAAUCGGAAUUACUGGGCGUAAAGCGCACGCAGGCGGUUUGUUAAGUCAGAUGUGAAAUCCCCGAGCUUAACUUGGGAACUGCAUUUGAAACUGGCAAGCUAGAGUCUUGUAGAGGGGGGUAGAAUUCCAGGUGUAGCGGUGAAAUGCGUAGAGAUCUGGAGGAAUACCGGUGGCGAAGGCGGCCCCCUGGACAAAGACUGACGCUCAGGUGCGAAAGCGUGGGGAGCAAACAGGAUUAGAUACCCGCGUAGUCCCUGUCUCUUAUAC